This 247-nucleotide ribosomal RNA is filed under the name uncultured bacterium. RNAcentral describes it as "partial 16S ribosomal RNA". It matches the Rfam family "Bacterial small subunit ribosomal RNA", at positions 15 to 244 of the family's 1533-position model. The record is from RNAcentral.
GAUCAUGGCUCAGGAUGAACGCUGGCGGCGUGCUUAACACAUGCAAGUCGAACGGGAAACAUUUCAUUGAGGCUUCGGCGGAUUUGAUCUGUUUCUAGUGGCGGACGGGUGAGUAACGCGUGGGUAACCUGCCUUAUACCGGGGGAUAACAGCCAGAAAUGACUGCUAAUACCGCAUAAGCGCACAGAACCGCAUGGUUCCGUGUGAAAAAACUCCGGUGGUAUAAGAUGGACCCGCGUUGGAUUAG